UACGAAGGGGACUAGCGUUGUUCGGAAUUACUGGGCGUAAAGGGCGCGUAGGCGGCCUGCUAAGUCGAACGUGAAAUCCCUGGGCUCAACCCAGGAACUGCGUCCGAUACUGGUUGGCUUGAAUCCGGGAGAGGGAUGUGGAAUUCCAGGUGUAGCGGUGAAAUGCGUAGAUAUCUGGAGGAACACCGGUGGCGAAGGCGACAUCCUGGACCGGUAUUGACGCUGAGGCGCGAAAGCCAGGGGAGCAAACGGG
RNAcentral lists this ribosomal RNA (253 nucleotides) under uncultured bacterium. Its description in RNAcentral is "partial 16S ribosomal RNA". It matches the Rfam family "Bacterial small subunit ribosomal RNA", at positions 524 to 776 of the family's 1533-position model. The record is from RNAcentral.